AGGGUCAAAGCUGGUGAAGUUCUGGGGAUUAACGCAGCCCCGGGACACCCAGGAAGCAGCCCCGGCCUCCCUCGGCGGCGGCCGGCGAGAGACUCGAGUUAUUUUUGAAAAGCAAGCGAGGCCUGCAGGCGGCCCUGGCAGAACUCGGAGCUGGAAGAUGGGCGAGCCAGGAGCAGAGCGAAACAGACAGCUCCUGCCGAGCCCACGCCCGGUCCCUAUGACGUCAGCCCCACGCAUUGUGACAUAAGACGGUGGCGGUGGCGGCAGGGGACGGGGGGAGGCCUCCUUGCACCCCCCUCCCCGCCUUGGGUGCACUUUUAUAAAUUGUGGAGAUACAGUGCCCUCUGCUGGCCUCUGUGGCACCUGCACACAUAGGGUGCACAUAAACUCAGGACUCUUACUGGAGGAAACCUGAAAACCAAGUCAAAAUGACUCAACAGCCAGAAUAAUGUCAGGAUGGGAAAAAAUAUGCUAUGUGAGCAAAACCUGAUGUCGUUGUGGAGACGGGGUCUCAUGUAGACCAGGCUAGCUUCAAACUCACUGUCUUGUUAGGAAUGACCUUUAACUCCCAGCCCGUCUGCUUCUGCCUCUUAAGUGUUGGGAACCCAGUCCUUACACCACAACGCUCUGCCCAAAAAGAAAAAAAGGCCAAAUCUUUGGAAAGCGAGUCCCGGGGGCCAGGCAUUGCUAACAGAUGUUAAAUCACGUAAGUCCUUAGGACAGCCCUAUGUGAGUCAAGGUAAUAUCGCCACCCUUAUUUUACACCUGAGGGAAUGGUAGCAGAGAGAGGUGAAGUCAAUUUCCUAAUGCCACACAGCCAUUCAGAGGUAGAGCUGACAUUUAUACCCAGGCCAUCUGGCUCCAUGUGCUGCCUGCCCGGUAGGGGCAGCAUUAAGUAGGGCAAUUUGUCCAGAGAGGAGUCCUGUGAAGAGGCUGACAUUUGAGCUAAAAUGCAGUAAGACAAGGCAAGUCCAGGGGGCAGAAGGGUCCAGAUGGUGAGGACACUGAGUGCAAAGCCCCGGAGGCUGGAACGCAAGGAGACUAGCGUUAGCUGAAGUGGAGGACAGACGCGGUCACAAGGGUGCUAGCCCAGACACAUGGGGGUGACAUGGCACCCCGUCCCUCCUCCAGGACAUUCUGGAUCUUCCUCGCUGUUCUGAGGAACGCUCAGAAGUGUGGCCUAAAAUGUUUCUUGACAGGAGCAAAGGGCCCUUUCCUCCAGAGUCAGGCCAAUUAGGCUCAGGACAAGCUGAUCCUCUGCCCUGCACUGUGAAGAAACAGCCUUUGCUGGUCACCCACCCCCUGCUUAGCCUCUGCCCACAGCUCUCCCGCUCCCGGGUGAUGGCCUUGGUGCCUGGCAGAGUGGCAGGUGGCUCUACGCUCCCUCACCCAGACACAGGAACACAGAGGACACCUUGCGUCCGCCCUGGCGGGUGCAGAGGCCAGAAUCCAGUCAUAGCCCAGUGAGGGGGUGCAGCAUCCCAAGGCUGGCUUUCGGGGGGGGGGCACUGUCAGGGGGACUCGCAAGGGCUCCUUCGUGCUUUAGACGGACCCUGUGCCGUCUGCCAUGUGGCUACCCUCCUGUCAGUAUUAGGAAAACGAAUUCUUACCCUAUAGUGUUGUUGUGGAAAUCAAACAGAGCAUAUGUGAGAAGGUACAUUCUGGGGGCUGAGAAUGUUCUAGAGCUUAUCUGGUAUGUAAGAUGUGACAAGCUGUGUGUCUUUCUAUAUAUAUAUAUAUUUUAUGGCUCAAUUUUUUUUUUCCGGCAGGCAAAGCCCCUGGCCCUUGGCUAAUACCACAUAAUGUUAGCUAGCAUUGGUAUGGAAUGUUCCAUAAAUAUUUGUUGAGUAGGUCCCAGGACCUUUCCACGCAGCAUUUAUCAUUUAUUUCAUCCACAGAGCUCUGGAGGCCUCAGACUCGACACUGUGUCUGGGAUUGAGUUCUUCUGCUCAUCUGUCUCUUCCUCCUUCCUCAGGCUUCCCUAGCUGCCACAGCUUCAGCUCAGAAAAGAUGUCUCCCAGCACUCCGGAGGCAGGACACAAGUGGAUCUCUGAGAGUCUGAAGCCGGUCUGGUCUAUAUAGUAAAUUCCAGGCCAGCCAAGCCAGCCAGCCAGCCCUACAAAGUGAGACCCUCAGAAAAAAAUAAUGAAGGAAAAUGAAAAUGUGUAUGCCUAUCUUGGCAUAGCAGCCCACACCGCUAAUUCCAGUCCUUGGAAGGCUGAGGAGAUCCGCCUGCCUCUGCUUCCCAAGUACUGGGAUUAAGGGCAUGUGCCACCACAC
Non-coding RNA from Peromyscus maniculatus bairdii (prairie deer mouse), 2280 nucleotides. Lineage: Eukaryota; Metazoa; Chordata; Mammalia; Rodentia; Cricetidae. The record is from RefSeq and is a predicted model, not a curated record.